UUGUACCUACGGGAGGCAGCAGUGGGGAAUAUUGCACAAUGGGGGAAACCCUGAUGCAGCGACGCCGCGUGAGUGAAGAAGUAUCUCGGUAUGUAAAGCUCUAUCAGCAGGGAAGAAAAAAGACAGUACCUGUAGAAUAAGCUCCGGCUAACUACGUGCCAGCAGCCGCGGUAAUACGUAGGGAGCAAGCGUUAUCCGGAAUUAUUGGGUGUAAAGGGUGCGUAGACGGGACAGCAAGUUAGUUGUGAAAGCCCUCGGCUUAACUGAGGAACUGCAACUAAAACUAUUGUUCUUGAGUGCAGGAG
This 305-nucleotide ribosomal RNA is filed under the name uncultured bacterium. RNAcentral's name for it is "bacterial SSU rRNA". It matches the Rfam family "Bacterial small subunit ribosomal RNA", at positions 333 to 654 of the family's 1533-position model. The record is from RNAcentral.